This 966-nucleotide long non-coding RNA is filed under the name Homo sapiens (human). RNAcentral describes it as "non-protein coding lnc-FANCA-2:1". Lineage: Eukaryota; Metazoa; Chordata; Mammalia; Primates; Hominidae. The record is from RNAcentral.
CUCCGGAACUUUCCCGCUUCAGCGGCGGCGUCUGGGCGGGCUCCGGGGGGUCCGGGCCAGGUCUCUGGAGAGCUGGGUGUCUGCGCGCCGUGCGCACCGGGCAUGGAGAGGUGCCCCGCGGGGAUGACGGGCUUCGAUUCGGGGUAACGGGCGCGCAGCCGGCGACAGUCGGCCCUGCCCGGCCUUGCCCAUCCAUGUGGCCCGGAACCCGCAGCCGCGUUCUGCCCGCCGGGGCCUGUCCCCGCACCGUGCCUGCAGCAUUUCAGCUGCGUCCCGGACGUUGCUAGUUGGUCCUUUUCGUGUCAGGGUGUCAUUCGAGUGAUCUAGCCGUCGAUGCCCGCCUCUGCCCUGGAGCCGCCGCCCCUCGAGCAGCAUUGAGUGACGCGGCCCUUACUGCCCGCCCGAGGCCUCUUUAGGGACAGUGGUUCUGACAGUUCUAGGACAGGCCGCCCGCGUUUGUCACGAUCUAAGGGCCGGGCGCGGUGCUCACGCUUGUAAUCCCAGCACUUUGGGAGGCCAAGGUGGGCGAAUCACCUGAGGUCGGGAAUUCGAGACCAGGUUGGGCAACACGGUGAAACUCCCUCUACUAAAAAUACAAAAAUUAGCUGGGCGUGGCUGCGCACGCCUGUAAUCCCAGCUACUCGGGAGGCUGAGGCUGCAGUGAGCCGAGAUCGCGCCACUGCACUCCAGCCUGGGCGACAGAGCCAGACCCUGUCUCAAAAAAAUGAAAAAAAUAAAGUAGAUGAGGCUGAGACAGUGCUGGGUUCAGUGGGCGGAGGGCACAGCUUCCUGUGCCUGGGGUUGGGGACAUGGGGACAGGAGGGCAUAGAGAAGACAGGUGCCAGCAGCCUCCUGCCCGACUUACUGCGGCUUCAUGAGCACAAGCAGCAGCCCUGGUGAGCCGGCCUGGCCCCUCCCAGGAUGGGUUAGGGUUUUAUUUUAUUUUGUGAGAUGAGGUCUUGCUCU